Molecule: long non-coding RNA, 1789 nt
Filed under: Macaca mulatta (Rhesus monkey)
Lineage: Eukaryota; Metazoa; Chordata; Mammalia; Primates; Cercopithecidae
Description: lncRNA (ENSMMUG00000063764.1)
Source: RNAcentral
GGAGGACCCCGCCCGGGUUCUGCCGCCUGUCAGUCCCGCGCGCUCAGGACGUCUCCCAGCCGCCCCCGACUCGCCUACUCCCCGAGCGCGCACUGGUCUGCUGGAGCUCCGACCGUGACGUCAUCCUUCCUGCAGGGCGCGUUGCGCCGCAGGGGUAGGCGACUAUGACGCGACAAGCCCGGUGACGUUACGGAGGCCCGGGGCCGCCCCUUGGACCCACUGCCCCGCUGUUGCCGUGAACACACGAUGGCAUUGCCGGAGUUGAUCAUCUCCCAAAAACAAGGGUCUUGCUAUAUUGUCCAGGCUGGUCUUGAACUCCUGGCCUCACUGAUCCUCCUGCCUUGGCCUCCCAAAGUUCUGUGGUUGCAGGCAUGAGCCACCAUGCCUGGUGAAAUGUGCCUGUAGAGCUGCCUUAGAAUUGGACUGAGGAACUUCAGCAACGCAGGAUGUGUUUCUUUAGACUCCUCUCACCUGCUGAUACCACAGGCUCCCUGGAGGCAGGGCCCCGUGUUAGGCUGUGGGAUAUCCCUACAAGGCCCAUGAAUUUUGAGGCACUUGCUGAAUGCAGCUGGGCCAAGCCCUAUCCUGGACCUCUCACCUCCCAAAUAACUGCAGGCACGGGACCCCAGGACUGCAGAGCAACUUAUCAACAUAUUUGCUCUGUGUGUGUGUGUGUGUGUGUGUGUGUGUGUGUGUGUCUUGUGCGUGCCCGCACAUGUGUGAAUCCCUCAGUUUUCCCACCUGUGAAGUGGGGCAGGUUGGUCCCAGACUCCUGUCUGCCUCGCAGGGAUGAUUUGAGAGAGUGAGAUCAUGUCUGGGCAGGGCUCUGGGAGCUUCAGAGGCAGCCUAAGGUAAACAACAGAAAGCCUCACUGCCCAGAGAGCAGAGACCGCAGCAAACCAUGGCUCCAUGCCUCCCAUUAUCCCGGGGGGGAAAGCCCUCCCCAAAAGCCCCUUGUAAACUGGGAAGGGAGUGCUGAGACAACAGAGAGGCAGGCGUUCCCAAGGCCUUGGGAGAGAACAGCAGCCAGACAGAGGCUGGAGAGGCGCCGAGACAAGGGAGGCAGCUGAGGGAGGACGGGAGGCUGGAUAGGAACCACCAGGGUCCCCAUCAAGUCAACUGUGUGUCCUCCAGUCCCAGAGAGGGAAGAACCCUGGCCAGUGUGGUGGGCCACACAGCCUGGUGAAUGGGAGUAGCCUAAUGCUCCCAGCACCCACGGGAGCCAAGCUGGAGCCAGCCAUUUCAGGGCAUGUGUGUGCAUGUGCCGGGGUGAGCGGGGGGAAGCACAUGAGCAGGAAGGCCUGGGUAGGUGGCCAUGGGGAUGGGGACAGGGACAGGGGCAGGCAGGACAAGGUGGUGUCAGGGCGUCUGUGAUGCUAGAGUCAUGGACAGAGCAACAAGACCUGUGUCUUGACAAGGUAGGAAGGUGAGGAGGGCAGGAACCCAAGCUACAGUGGGAGAGGGAGGGCUGGCCACAGGCUAGCUCUCUGAGGGACCCUGGGGAUGCCACAUCUACCCUCCGGGCCAUCUGUCAAAUGCAGGCAUGGUUGGAUCCUGGAACAGAAAAAGGGCAUUCGUGAAAAAACUGGUGAAAUCCCGGUGAGGCCUGUUGCUUCGUUAGUAGUGUGGUAUCAAUAUUAAUUUCGUAGUUUUGAUCAAGGCACCAUGGUUAUGUAAGAUGUUCACAAUAGGGGAGGCUGGGUGAAGGAUAAUUGGGAACUUCCUGUGCUAUCUUUGUGACUCAGCUGUAAAUCUAAAAUUAUUUCAAAAUAAAAAGCCUGAGCAUGUA